GGGCUCUUAGCUCAGUUGGAAGAGCGCCUCAAUGGCAUUGAGGAGGUCAGCGGUUCGAUCCCGCUAGGGUCCACCA
Molecule: transfer RNA, 76 nt
Filed under: Opitutaceae bacterium
Lineage: Bacteria; Pseudomonadati; Verrucomicrobiota; Opitutia; Opitutales; Opitutaceae
Description: tRNA-Ala
Rfam family: tRNA
About the family: Transfer RNA (tRNA) molecules are approximately 80 nucleotides in length. Their secondary structure includes four short double-helical elements and three loops (D, anti-codon, and T loops).
Source: RNAcentral